UUAACCGUAUAGGGGAGCCGUAGGGAAACCGAGUCUUAACCGGGCGUUAAGUUGCAGGGUAUAGACCCGAAACCCGGUGAUCUAGCCAUGGGCAGGUUGAAGGUUGGGUAACACUAACUGGAGGACCGAACCGACUAAUGUUGAAAAAUUAGCGGAUGACCUGUGGCUGGGGGUGAAAGGCCAAUCAAACCGGGAGAUAGCUGGUUCUCCCCGAAAGCUAUUUAGGUAGCGCCUCGUGAAUUCAUCUCCGGGGGUAGAGCA
RNAcentral lists this ribosomal RNA (261 nucleotides) under Salmonella enterica subsp. enterica serovar Kentucky. Its description in RNAcentral is "partial 23S ribosomal RNA". It matches the Rfam family "Bacterial large subunit ribosomal RNA", at positions 646 to 909 of the family's 2925-position model. The record is from RNAcentral. Lineage: Bacteria; Pseudomonadati; Pseudomonadota; Gammaproteobacteria; Enterobacterales; Enterobacteriaceae.